UAUCGCCUAAGGAUGAGCCCGCGUAGGAUUAGCUAGUUGGUGUGGUAAAAGCGCACCAAGGCGACGAUCCUUAGCUGGUCUGAGAGGAUGAUCAGCCACACUGGGACUGAGACACGACCCAGACUACUACGGGAGGCAGCAGUGGAGAAUAUUGGACAAUGGGCGAAAGCCUGAUCCAGCAAUGCCGCGUGAGUCAUGAAGGCCUUAGGGUUGUAAAGCUCUUUUACCCUGGAUGAUAAUGACAGUACCUAGAGAAUAAGCUCCGGCUAACUCCGUGCCAGCAGCCGCGGUAAUACGGAGGGAGCUAGCGUUGUUCGGAAUUACUGGGCGUAAAGCGUACGUAGGCGGCUUUGUAAGUAAGAGGUGAAAGCCUGGAGCUCAACUCCAGAACUGCCUUUUAGACUGCAUCGCUUGAAUCCUGGAGAGGUGAGUGGAAUUCCGAGUGUAGAGGUGAAAUUCGUAGAUAUUCGGAAGAACACCAGUGGCGAAGGCGGCUCACUGGACAGGUAUUGACGCUGAGGUACGAAAGCGUGGGGAGCAAACAGGAUUAGAUACCCUGGUAGUCCACGCCGUAAACGAUGAUAACUAGCUGUCUGGGUACUUGGUACUUAGGUGGCGCAGCUAACGCAUUAAGUUAUCCGCCUGGGGAGUACGGUCGCAAGAUUAAAACUCAAAGGAAUUGACGGGGGCCUGCACAAGCGGUGGAGCAUGUGGUUUAAAUUCGAAGCAACGCGCAGAAACCUUACCAGC
This 750-nucleotide ribosomal RNA is filed under the name Sphingomonas aestuarii. RNAcentral describes it as "bacterial SSU rRNA". It matches the Rfam family "Bacterial small subunit ribosomal RNA", at positions 213 to 978 of the family's 1533-position model. The record is from RNAcentral. Lineage: Bacteria; Pseudomonadati; Pseudomonadota; Alphaproteobacteria; Sphingomonadales; Sphingomonadaceae.